AUGUUCUUCAUAGUGUUCCUCAUCUUAUGUGGCAGAGUAGUGAUGGAGGUAAGGUUGAGUUUCAGAAGGGAGCUUGUGGGACUGGAGCGGGCCGAGUGGGAUCACGUGCGGGCUUUGACUGCGACCGUCCGCUUAUCGGACUCCGCAGACGAGGUCUCUUGGAGACUCCCGGGCUCUGGCAAGUUCACUGUCAAGUCAAUGUACAGGGAGUUGUGCCGCGGGCAUGCCCCUAUGGCAGCCUCGGGGCUUUGGAAGGCGCGAAUCCCGCUAAAAAUUAAGGUCUUUCUUUGGCAAUUAUGUCAGGAUCGCCUUCCUACCUCUAUUAAUAUAGCCAAGCGCAAUGGCCCUGCUUCCGGACCGUGUGCUUUGUGUCAUAACGCGGAAGAUGCUGACCACGCGUUUUUUCGCUGCCCUUUGGCGCGGUUUGCUUGGAGUGCGGCCAGGGAGGCCGCUGGGGUGGAUUGGGAUCCACGCUCACGCUCUGAGCUUGUGUCUUACUUAUCCGCGAUCCCGGGCUCUUUGCGCCGGAUAAUGUGGACGUGUGCUUCGGCCUUGCUAUGGGCCUUAUGGCAUAUUCGUAACAAGUUUACUAUUGAGGGAGCGUUUCCCUCUCACCCUGCUGAUGUUAUCUUCAAAUGCAUCUUAUUCUUGCAGCAGUGGGCUACGCUGGGAAGGCAACAGGAUGCUGAUCUCCAUCGACAUGCCAUCGCUCGGCUCCGCACAGUCUACUCGGUGUCCCGGGCCCCGUCGCCUCCUCCGUCUGCUGCCUUAUAG
Molecule: ribosomal RNA, 774 nt
Filed under: Triticum aestivum (bread wheat)
Lineage: Eukaryota; Viridiplantae; Streptophyta; Magnoliopsida; Poales; Poaceae
Description: partial small subunit ribosomal RNA
Source: RNAcentral